AACGAACGCUGGCGGCAUGCCUAACACAUGCAAGUCGAACGAGACCUUCGGGUCUAGUGGCGCACGGGUGCGUAACGCGUGGGAACCUGCCCUUAGGUUCGGAAUAACUCCCCGAAAGGGGUGCUAAUACCGGAUAAUGUCUUCGGACCAAAGAUUUAUCGCCUUUGGAUGGGCCCGCGUUGGAUUAGCUAGUUGGUAGGGUAAAAGCCUACCAAGGCGACGAUCCAUAGCUGGUCUGAGAGGAUGAUCAGCCACACUGGGACUGAGACACGGCUCAGACUCCUACGGGAGGCAGCAGUGGGGAAUAUUGGACGAUGGGCGAAAGCCUGAUCCAGCAAUGCCGCGUGAGUGAUGAAGGCCUUAGGGUUGUAAAGCUCUUUUACCCGGGAUGAUAAUGACAGUACCGGGAGAAUAAGCUCCGGCUAACUCCGUG
RNAcentral lists this ribosomal RNA (433 nucleotides) under uncultured bacterium. RNAcentral describes it as "partial 16S ribosomal RNA". It matches the Rfam family "Bacterial small subunit ribosomal RNA", at positions 29 to 507 of the family's 1533-position model. The record is from RNAcentral.